RNAcentral lists this long non-coding RNA (2293 nucleotides) under Mus pahari (shrew mouse). RNAcentral's name for it is "predicted gene, 26629 (MGP_PahariEiJ_G0004222.1)". The record is from RNAcentral. Lineage: Eukaryota; Metazoa; Chordata; Mammalia; Rodentia; Muridae.
CUACUGCAGUUUGCCUUCUCCGGGGGGUGGAACAAGGGGCUAGGAGCUCUGUAUAAAAAUAAAAUAAAAAGCCCACAGAGGCGGACUUCUCUGUGCACUCCAUCAGUCUAUCAGGAGCCUUUCAAGGUUGUCCUCUGAGAGGCUCUACUAGCACAUGACUGAGGCAGAUGCAGAUACUUACAGCCAACUAUUGGAUUGAGCCUGGGCACCCAUGUUGAAAAGAUAUUGAAGGACUGAAGGAGCUAAAAGGGACUGCAACUCCAUAUGAAGAACAACAAAAUCAGCCAACCAGACCCCUCAGAGCUCCCAGGGACUAAGCCAUCAAUCAAAGAGUGUACAUGGGCUGGUCCUUGGUAUGUAGCAGAGAACUGCCUUGUCUGGCCUCAGUGGGAGGGGAGGCAAUUUGUCCUGUGGAGGCUUGAUGUCCCAGAGAAGGGGGAUGCUAGAGGGGUGAGAUCCAGAGGAAGUGGGAUCAAAGAGACUCUACCUGAAUGGUUCUGUCCAGCCAUUCAGAACAAGUGGUUCUGUCCACAAGUGCAUCCCCUUAUUAUUGUGUGAAUGGGGAAGGAGAAAAGGGUGCAGACCUGCUUGCAGCAGGAAAGAAGGGCUAUCAAGAUCUAAAGCUGUCCAUAGGCACCGCAUGUGUGAGAUGUGAGCUGCCAGUUCCCACCACCAUGUCUGCCACCACAUCUCUUGCAUGCUGCCCUCCUGUCCUUGCCAUAGACUCUAAUGUGCUGGAAUGGCUACACUUUGAGAAUUUUCUUCUAUAUCUGAGGAACACUUACCAUUGUGGAUUAUGGACAUCUAAUGGUAUUUGAAAAUUUAUCCACUACAGUGGAAAACCAUGAUGUUCAAGUCAUGAACAUUCAAGGGAACAAGGAUAAAUGAAGGCAUCGGAUAAAGAGGCCCUAAGUGAGAAGUUACUGACCACACUGUGCUCAGAGAAGCAAAGCAAAUCAUUACCACAAAACUCCUCCAAUCCUUUCCAGUCCACAUAGUAAAAUGUAUCGGGAUGAUGGAGGCACGUUCGUAUGUCAGCUGAGUGGUCACCAUCCUGUAAAGCAUGGAGAGAAAGGAAAGCCAUAUAAAGACACAGUGAGUCAGACCUGGAGGCACAGGCAAAGCUCUGCAGUUGCCAUGGUGAGGCUUCUUCAGGAGCACUACUGAAAGGGUCAUGGAUGGAUUUCUCAUGACCUUUACUUCUCAUAAGAUCAAGGUAGUCAUGAUCCCUUUUUAUGAGUGUUCCUCAGAAAAUUGGAAAUAGAUCUAUCUGAAGACCCAGAAAUCCUACUCUUGGGAAUAUAUCCAAAAGAUGCCCCACCUUGCCACAGGACACAUGUUCCACUAUGUUCAUAGUGGCCUUAUUUGUGAUAGCCAGAAGCUGGAAACAACCGAGAUGUUCCACGACAGAAGAAUGUCUACAGAAAAUGUGGUUCAUUUACACAAUGGAAUACUACUCAGAUAUUAAGAAUAAGGACAUCCCGAGUUUUGCAGUUCCCUGAACCUUGAAAGGAAGGGUACGAUAUCCCAUUUGGGUCCUGGAGCUCUAAAGUCUCCUGCUAUCUGUCCACUGUCCACUUGUGGGUUGCUGUGAUCAUCAUCUGCUUUGAGAAGAACUUUUCUUGCUAAGUGUUGUGUUUUAAUCUACAUGUAUAACCAAGGAGUGUUGUUCCACAGGACAGAUGUCCAGUUAUGUGUACGUUUUGGUACAGUGGGAGAGCUGAUUUCUGUUUCUGCCCUGAUGUUAGUGUUAUGCUGGUAACAGAAAGUGAGCAAGGUGUAUUCCCUGUAGUCAUGUUGCUUGAAGAAUUCAUGAAGAUCAACGCUGAGUCUUGGAUCUUUGGUAGCUGUCCUCUGUAAGGGCAUCCAGUCCUUGCUUUUCUUGGCUGGGAGUUUCUUGGAGAAUGAUUUAAUCAUUUGCUCUGCAGGUUUCACAUUCUUAGUUCUGUGAAGGUGUUGGAUUCUACAAUUGCAUCAAUUGGUUGAGUUAUCCAAUCUGCUGACAUAUAAAAACACAUAACUGUGCCUUACAAGCCAUUUUAUGACCAAAGCAUCCACUGAAACUUUUUUAUAUCUGCCUUUAAAUUUAUUAUCUCUUUUUACUGUUACCUUUGAUACGUUUUGUAAAGUUUGUGAUGAUUUUCACAUAACCAAACCUUCAUAAUAUUUCCUACGCUUCCUGUUAUCUGUUUUAUUUAUUUCUGUUCUGAUCUAUAUUUCCUACCUUAUGCCAACUUGGAGUCUUCGUGUUUUAGAAUAAAUAAUUUUUUUCUAGUUAAUAGAGGUGUAAAAU